GCUGGUUCUUAUGGCGAGGUGGGUACACCUUUUCCCAUUCCGAACAGAGAAGUUAAGCACCUCUGCGCCGAUGGUACUUGUUCCGCAAGGAACCGGGAGAGUAGGACGGAGCCAGCA
Molecule: non-coding RNA, 117 nt
Organism: Candidatus Gottesmanbacteria bacterium
Lineage: Bacteria; Candidatus Gottesmaniibacteriota
Source: Rfam